Molecule: ribosomal RNA, 1325 nt
Filed under: uncultured microorganism
Description: bacterial SSU rRNA
Rfam family: Bacterial small subunit ribosomal RNA
Source: RNAcentral
CACGUGGGUCAUUUGCCCUUUGGUGGGGAAUAACCCGAGGAAACUCGGGCUAAUACCGCAUACGGUCCACGGAUCAAAGCCUUCGGGCGCCAGAGGAUGAGCCUGCGUCGCAUUACCUAGUUGGUGGGGUAAUGGCCGAAAAAGAGGACGACGAGGAGCUGGUCUGAGAGGAUGAUCAGCCACACUGGGACUGAGACACGGACCAGACCUACCGAGGCAGCAGUGGGAAUAUGGCAAUGGGGGAACCUGACGCAGCACGCGCGUGGGUGAUGAGCCUUCGGUGUAAAGCCUGUCGGGAGGAGAAUAAUGACGGUACCUCCCAAGAAAGCACCGGCUAACUCGUGCCAGCAGCCGCGGUAAUACGGAGGGUGCGAGCGUUGCUCGGAAUCACUGGGCGUAAAGCGUACGCAGGCGGCUCUGCAAGUCGGGUGUGAAAGCCCGGGGCUCAACCCCGGAAUUGCGCCCGAGACUGCAGGGCUUGAAUGCGGGAGAGGGAAGCGGAAUUCCUGGUGUAGAGGUGAAAUUCGUAGAUAUCAGGAGGAACACCAGUGGCGAAAGCGGCUUCCUGGCCCGACAUUGACGCUCAUGUACGAAAGCGCGGGGAGCAAACAGGAUUAGAUACCCUGGUAGUCCGCGCCGUAAACGAUGAGUGCUAGCUGCUGGGAAUGUUUACCGUCUCAGUGGCGAAGCCAACGCAUUAAGCACUCCGCCUGGGAAGUACGGCCGCAAGGCUAAAACUCAAAGGAAUUGACGGGGGCCCGCACAAGCGGUGGAGCAUGUGGUUUAAUUCGAAGCAACGCGCAGAACCUUACCCAGGCUUGACAUCCCGGGAACCUCGCGGAAACGUGAGGGUGCCUUCUCACGAAGGAGCCCGGUGACAGGUGCUGCAUGGCUGUCGUCAGCUCGUGCUGUGAGGUGUUCGGUUAAGUCCGGCAACGAGCGCAACCCCUGUCGCUAGUUACCAGCAUUCAGUUGGGGACUCUAGCGAGACUGCCGCUGAUACGCGGAGAAGGUGGGGAUGACGUCAAGUCCUCAUGCCUUACGUCUGGGGCUACACACGUGCUACAAUGCACCUAAAAAGGGUUGCCAGACCGCAAGUGGAACAAUCCCAAAAGGUUCUCAGUCGGAUGGGAGUCGCACUCGACUCAUGAGCUGAUCGUAGUAUCCCGGAUAGCACGCCCAGGCGAAAACGUUCCCGGGCCUUGUACACACCGCCCGUCACACCAUGGGAGUUGACCGUGCCCGAAGCCGUGUCCCCAACCGCAAGGGGGGGAGCGUCUACGGCAAGGUCGGCGACUGGGGUGAAGUCGUAACAAGGUAACCAA